GAUGAACGCUGGCGGCGUGCUUAACACAUGCAAGUCGAACGGGAAAUAUUUCAUUAAGACUUCGGUGGAUUUGAUUUAUUUCUAGUGGCGGACGGGUGAGUAACGCGUGGGUAACCUGCCUUAUACAGGGGGAUAACAGUCAGAAAUGGCUGCUAAUACCGCAUAAGCGCACAGAGCUGCAUGGCUCAGUGUGAAAAACUCCGGUGGUAUAAGAUGGACCCGCGUUGGAUUAGCUAGUUGGUGGGGUAACGGCCCACCAAGGCGACGAUCCAUAGCCGGCCUGAGAGGGUGAACGGCCACAUUGGGACUGAGACACGGCCCAGACUCCUACGGGAGGCAGCAGUGGGGAAUAUUGCACAAUGGGGGAAACCCUGAUGCAGCGACGCCGCGUGAAGGAAGAAGUAUCUCGGUAUGUAAACUUCUAUCAGCAGGGAAGAUAGUGACGGUACCUGACUAAGAAGCCCCGGCUAACUACGUG
This 478-nucleotide ribosomal RNA is filed under the name uncultured bacterium. RNAcentral describes it as "partial 16S ribosomal RNA". It matches the Rfam family "Bacterial small subunit ribosomal RNA", at positions 28 to 507 of the family's 1533-position model. The record is from RNAcentral.